CCCUCACCCACAUGAAGUGUCUACCUUCUGCAGACUCCAGCGGCUCAGGAACCGGGAUCCAGUGCCAGGCUCGUGGUGUCCUGCAGCAGAUGUGGGGAGCUUUCCUUCUUUACGUCUCCAUGAAGAUGGGAGUCACUACAGGACAAAACAUUGACCAGCCCACUGAGAUGACAGCUAUGGAAGGAGCCAUUGUCCAGAUCAACUGCACGUACCAGACGUCUGGGUUCAAUGGGCUGUCCUGGUACCAGCAACAUGAUGGCGAAGCACCCACACUUCUCUCUUACAAUGUUCUGGAUGGUUUGGAGGAGAAAGGUCGUUUUUCUUCAUUCCUUAGUAACUCGAAAAGGUACAGUUACCUCCUUUUGAAGGAGCUCCAGAUGAAAGACUCUGCCUCUUACCUCUGUGCUGUGAGAGACACGGUGACUAUGAGGUCUCUUCAGCCGCAACAAAAUUCAAAAAGCAACCACAGCAGCAAGAAGUUAUAUUUCCUGAGUGUAUGCCUGCUGUGA
Mandrillus leucophaeus (drill) is the source of this 509-nucleotide non-coding RNA. The record is from the annotation of a RefSeq genome assembly. Lineage: Eukaryota; Metazoa; Chordata; Mammalia; Primates; Cercopithecidae.